GACUGGCCAUCAAGAAACAAACUAGUGAUAAUGUCUAUAACUAACAAUCUUGAUUCUAUAGUUGGCAAGAAAAUUUUUCUUCAAACAAAUGACUAAGACGUGGCUUAAUGACUUAAAAAAUUAGGCUUGACAAUCCUACAGAUUUUAACUAACAACUUACGGACUCAACCUCCAAAUAAAAUAUGUACGAAGAAAAUCCCAAGAUAAUCAAGCUAAAUCGGAGA
RNAcentral lists this long non-coding RNA (224 nucleotides) under Elaeis guineensis (African oil palm). RNAcentral describes it as "long non-coding RNA (EGUI_LNC002586)". The record is from RNAcentral. Lineage: Eukaryota; Viridiplantae; Streptophyta; Magnoliopsida; Arecales; Arecaceae.